RNAcentral lists this ribosomal RNA (580 nucleotides) under Paenibacillus sp. 10D8. Its description in RNAcentral is "bacterial SSU rRNA". It matches the Rfam family "Bacterial small subunit ribosomal RNA", at positions 181 to 748 of the family's 1533-position model. Lineage: Bacteria; Bacillati; Bacillota; Bacilli; Caryophanales; Paenibacillaceae. The record is from RNAcentral.
UUUCCUCGCCUGAGGGAGAUGGGAAAGACGGAGCAAUCUGUCACUUGCAGAUGGACCUGCGGCGCAUUAGCUAGUUGGUGGGGUAACGGCUCACCAAGGCGACGAUGCGUAGCCGACCUGAGAGGGUGAUCGGCCACACUGGGACUGAGACACGGCCCAGACUCCUACGGGAGGCAGCAGUAGGGAAUCUUCCGCAAUGGACGAAAGUCUGACGGAGCAACGCCGCGUGAGUGAUGAAGGUUUUCGGAUCGUAAAGCUCUGUUGCCAGGGAAGAACGCUCGGGAGAGUAACUGCUCUCGGGGUGACGGUACCUGAGAAGAAAGCCCCGGCUAACUACGUGCCAGCAGCCGCGGUAAUACGUAGGGGGCAAGCGUUGUCCGGAAUUAUUGGGCGUAAAGCGCGCGCAGGCGGUGAUGUAAGUUGGGUGUUUAAACCUAGGGCUCAACCUUGGGUCGCAUCCAAAACUGCAUGACUUGAGUACAGAAGAGGAAAGUGGAAUUCCACGUGUAGCGGUGAAAUGCGUAGAUAUGUGGAGGAACACCAGUGGCGAAGGCGACUUUCUGGGCUGUAACUGACGCUG